CACCCUCUUUGUUCCUCUUCAGAAUGCUUGCUGCUACUCUCAAGCUUCUCAACCAACCCUUCUGUCUCUUCAAACCCUCUAUAGAAAUGCGAGACUCAACAAGAUCUCGUCGCAUGAAAUGUUGCACAAAUGGAGAGCGCCCAAUGUCUCUCUAAAAUUCGUCGAUGGUGACCAAACGAUCAGAGCCUACUCUUCUCAGCCUGCUUAAAACUCGAUUGCCACUUGGGUUAUUGAUGACGAAUUCAGUGCAAUUAUCCAAGUUUCUUAUUCUGCAAACCAUAUUUUCUCUAUCAUCAUCAACUGAAUUUAUCUCUUCCAAACCCCUACUCAUGAGUGAAGAUCUACUCGACGAGAAAUUGAUUUCAAAAUUGGAGCUCAU
RNAcentral lists this long non-coding RNA (379 nucleotides) under Amborella trichopoda. RNAcentral describes it as "long non-coding RNA (ATRI_LNC001524)". The record is from RNAcentral. Lineage: Eukaryota; Viridiplantae; Streptophyta; Magnoliopsida; Amborellales; Amborellaceae.